RNAcentral lists this ribosomal RNA (441 nucleotides) under uncultured bacterium. Its description in RNAcentral is "partial 16S ribosomal RNA". It matches the Rfam family "Bacterial small subunit ribosomal RNA", at positions 338 to 795 of the family's 1533-position model. The record is from RNAcentral.
CCUACGGGUGGCAGCAGUGGGGAAUAUUGCACAAUGGGGGAAACCCUGAUGCAGCGACGCCGCGUGAGUGAAGAAGUAUUUCGGUAUGUAAAGCUCUAUCAGCAGGGAAGAAGCAAGACGGUACCUGACUAAGAAGCCCCGGCUAACUACGUGCCAGCAGCCGCGGUAAUACGUAGGGGGCAAGCGUUAUCCGGAAUUACUGGGUGUAAAGGGAGCGUAGACGGCAAUGCAAGUCCGGAGUGGAAUGCGGCAGCUCAACUGCCGAACUGCUCUGGAAACUGUAUGGCUUGAGUGCAGGAGGGGUAAGCGGAAUUCCUGGUGUAGCGGUGAAAGGCGUAGAUAUCAGGAGGAACACCGGUGGCGAAGGCGGCUUACUGGACUGUAACUGACGUUGAGGCUCGAAAGCGUGGGGAGCAAACAGGAUUAGAUACCCGUGUAGUC